RNAcentral lists this transfer-messenger RNA (404 nucleotides) under Alphaproteobacteria (a-proteobacteria). RNAcentral's name for it is "UBA2136 sp002328405 Standard tmRNA". It matches the Rfam family "transfer-messenger RNA". From Rfam's summary of the family: Bacterial tmRNA, also known as 10Sa RNA or SsrA, is named for its dual tRNA and mRNA-like properties. Its role is to liberate the mRNA from a stalled ribosome. RNAcentral also lists the same sequence under 2 other names. The record is from RNAcentral. Lineage: Bacteria; Pseudomonadati; Pseudomonadota.
GGGGGCGACAUUGGUUUCGACGGGAUAAAUGAGUGUUUAGGAGCAUGUGGCGGGGAGGACGGCCCACCUUACAAAACGUCUAAAAAAUAUAGUUGCAGAUGACAACUUUGAAUACGCAAUGGCUGCCUAAUUUAAUUAAGUAGUUAGUAUUCUUUUUAAACAGGGACCUAUAACCUCCCUGGCCGAGUCUAAACUUUCGUGUGUUGAGGUUUAUGCUUGGUUCAUAUUGAGACACACUCGCUGAUCAGGAUGCCGUGACUGUGAUGUUAAAUUUUAAGCGGACGGCUUAAUUGUGGUAGGUCACUCGACAGCAGUUAAGAGAUUUUUAAAGAGUGACUAAACAUGUAGUAGCCUGGCGCAAAACUUUGUUGCGGACGGGGGUUCAACUCCCCCCGCCUCCACCA